UUUUCAGGGUUAUUAUUUAAGUUAAUCUUAUGAUUUAAGGAAAGACUCGACGAGUUGAGGGUCCAACUCGCCGAGUCGAGUCGGGUUUCUCUCGCGGGUUAUUGAGUGAACUCGACGAGUCAGAGGAGGGACUCGCCGAGUAGGAGCUGGGCAGAGGAACCCUGAUUUUCGGGGUUUGGGACCUAUUUAAAGGCACUUAUUGCCUCCUUGACCCCUCCCCAUCAGAGUCUUUUUCCCUUGAGAGAAACCCUAGAGUGAUUGGUGAUCUAUAGAAGAAAUUGGCUAAUUGGAGGUCAUUCCUUGGAAAGGAAGAGCAAGGGUUUUGCAAGGAUCUCAGAGGAGAGUUAGAGGAUCAGGUUCAUCUUCAUUGCAAGCUCCAGAUCUGGUACAAACUCUUCCCUUCUUUGUGUUUGUGUAGAUUUCCUUGGUUAAUUAAGUUAGGGCUUGAAUCACAAUUUAGACAGGGUUGUGGGUGCAUCCAAACCCUUUUUCGAGUCAUGUGUAGAUCUGGACCUUGUGAGGUCCAGGGAACCAGAAAGUAGGCAACCAUGAAAGAGUUGUUUGGGAGCUUUAAAGCUAUGGAGAUUCAAUGGAGUCCAAAUGGUGUAUUGAGCAAAAUACACCAUGCAUGAGCCUCAAGUUCAGACCUUUAUGUGACUUUUGAGUAGUAGGAGGUUAGAUCUAUGAGUUUGGGUUGCAGAUCGGACCUUGGAUGGCUGAAUGAGCAAUCUGUUGGAGCCAACUCGCCGAGUCCAUGAGAUGACUCGACGAGUCGUAGUGGGUUUGACCGAGUAGCCUUAACCCAGUGUUGGAUCACCAAUUUAGGGGUCAACUCAAUGAGCUGAGUGAGACUCGGUUAUAGUUCAGAUGAUGCGAGGGGACUCGACGAGUCGCAAGGAUGCACUCGACGAGUAGGGUCGAGUGUGGACUGUUGACUUGAGUUGACUUCUAUUGACUUUGGAGUUUUGGUCAACAUAAGUAAUAGAGACCAUGGAGGGGUAAAAUGGUCUUUUACCCACUUCCCGAUUAGAGAGGGAAAAAGUAACUGUCGGUUUAAUUAGAGUUGAUAUUUCUAGUGUUAAUUAGAGAUAUUUGCCCUAUGUGUUAGGCGGUGGCGAGUUCGAGAUUCAAGUGUGAAGAUAACUGCUUUUUGCUUGUCAGGUGAGUCUUCUCACUAUACAUUACCUAGAGUGGUAUCUAUGUGUAGACCGGAGGGUCUUGUGUGCUAUGUGUAUGUAUGAGACUAUGUGCAUUGUAAUAUAUGUAUGUUAUGUGAUUGUAUAGACCGGACCGGAGGGUCCAACGAUAUAGACCGGACCGAAGGGUCCAACGAUACAGACUGGGCCGAAGGGUCCAACGAGCUAUGACAGGACCAGAGGGUCCAACGAGCUACGUGACUGGAGGGUCCCGCUAAGACACAUCGAUCGGAGGGUCGUACUAUAGUCUAUAGUGGCGUAUGUGGUAUUUUGGGGAACUCACUAAGCUUCGUGCUUACCGUGUUAUGUGUUAUGUGUUUCAGGUUUUUCUCAGGAUCAUGGGAUGACACCGGCUUGAUUAUACACACCAGAGGAAGAGUUAUGUUUUUGAGGAUCCUGGAUUAUUAUUUAGUUGAAUAUGUAGUUAUGUUUUGUAAUUUAAACAAAAUGAUGUUUUUACAAAAAAGUGUUUUAAGAAUUAAGCGAUUUUAAAUGAAAAUUUUUAGUUUGAAAAAUUACGGUGCUACAAGUUGGUAUCAGAGCCUUGGUUUGAGGGAUUCGGAUGCACCUUCGGGUAAAUCUGGACUCAAACUGAGGAUUUAAGAAAGUUUUCAAAAGAAGUAAAUUUCUAAAAACGAGCAAGAGUUUCUAAGAGAAUAACGAGAAGGAGUAGUGUGUACAAUCAGCCAAAGCCCGAACGGUGAUUUCCCAAAAUACUCUUACUUUUGUGUUAUGAGAUAUGUUAUGAGACAUCAUGCAUGCUAGAGAUAGGCUUGGUAGUUCAUAUUUUAGGACUAGAGAAGCCUAAUCUGUGAUGCCUUAGCCUAGGAGUUGCUGUUAUAUGUGAAGCACUUUCGAGUAUUUAUUGAGUGAGAGUAUCCAACAAGAAUCCUUGUAGAGAGGGAUUUGAGUAGAGGAGUAAUCUAGGAGAGAUACCUAGAUGAGCAUUUGUGGAACCUAUCGGGAGAGUAGCUAGAUACCCGCGGGGGGUAAACUUGCAGAGUUCGGUAAUACCUUUUGAGUAUGAGUAGAGCAAGUGGAGUUAUCACCUAGAGUGGGUUAUACGUGAUCAUUCGAUGCUCGAAUGCUGCUUGCUUCCUGCUUUGUGGAAUUCCCGAUGAUGGGAGUCAGCUAUCAAGUGAAUGUGACGAUAUUUAAGAGGUAGAUGACUGGCAUCAGAAGGAGUUUCUCAGCAGCUGAUGGCAGAGAAGUGUGAGAACCUAGGAAGAGCCUAGGACGUGACCUUAGUUAGAUGAGUACGCUGACAUAGUGGAGCAAUUCGUUGGGGAGCGAGCAGCGCAUGUUGAGAUUGGUGACUGAGAAGGUUGAGCAGCUACUUAGGGAAUCUAGGAUGGUUCGUGCAGAGAGUAUGGGUAGAUGUGGCAGGUAGUAUGGGCCCGUACUACUGAAAGCAAAGGACCCAUACUGGAUGCAGGGAGGAUUCCAGAGGUUCUAAGUAGCAGAUCCAGAGGUGAUGUCACGGUUCGAGUACCAUGAUUGGUAGCAGAUCGAGAGGUGAUGUCAUGGUUCGAGUACCAUGAUUGGUAGCAGAUCGAGAGGUGAUGUCAUGGUUCGAGUACCAUGGUUGGUAACAGAUCGAGAGAUGAUGUCAUGGUUCGAGUACCAUGAUUGGUAGCAGAUCGAAAGGCGAUGUCAUGGUUCGAGUACCAUGAUUUGAGACAGAUUGAGAUGAGAGAACAUGGUUCGAGCACCAUGAUUCAUAAGCAAAUCAGGGGGUGGCCACAUGGUUCGAGUACCAUGAUAUGUGGCUGUUAGUGCUUCUAGUUUUACCGGUUAUUCCGUGGUGAGUGUCUAGACCGAUGUCAGAUGUGAAAGAGUAUGGUGCCAGAAGGCCAGGAUGAACGAAUUCUAGUGGAGCAACCCUUGAUAGGGAAAUCGAGUUAACUCCGAGAACUUGUUAAUGAUAUACCAGUAGAGUCGCAAGACUCAAGGUUGAGCAGGGAUGGUGCGUUAUGGAAGAAUAUGGUAUGGGCUGGGCAACCAGCCGAUAGUGGAGAUGUCACUUUCUGUGACCCAAGUGGUGUUAUUUCUGUUUCCUGUGGGAGACGUAAGAGGUGUUCAGAUUUCGGUUUGAGUUUGGGGGUAAGCCCCAUGGGAUUGCACUAGUAGUGAUCUUCAAUCAUAAAGUAUGGUAGUAUGUUUGCCACGAGGAAAAGAUAUAGCUUGAACAAGGCGUCAGUGGGGACUGAGUUGGUCAAGGACCAGGAUACACCCUACUUGAGUAUAGUAGGGCAUGUGUUAGCUGCAACGUCGGUCGAUCAAAAGGAGAUAUCAUAGCGGUGGCUCUUAUUAUCUUUGAUGUGUAUCGAGAGUGGUAAUCUGGGUUCUGCUCUUAUCAUAAGUGUCAUGAUGGAGCGUGGGUCGAGGAAUCGAGAAUGAGGAAGAUGAUAGUUCGCUAUUUCCAGACUAAGUGUCGGGAUUGAUAAUGGACAGUUAGACAUUCCGGUGUUGGGAUGUGUGGGAUUCUGAUUGACCAGAGGCGGUAGUGAUGGGAAGUUCUGAGGAUUUCAUAUGUGAUUCGGAGUAAUUGAUAUUGCUCGAUUUCUAUCGAGAAGGAUCAUCUAGCGUUGCAUAGCUCUUUCAAAGGGUAGGUGAAAUUUUGCUAAUGAAGACAAUCUGUGGGAUAGAUUCAUAGUACGCCAAUUGGCGAGGGUUCAAACCCUAAGUGGGGGAGAACUGGAUAUUUUCUAAGGGGAUCUGAGAUUUGUUCAAGGGCGAUCAGGGGACUAGUUAUAGUGAGCUAUGUGUCGGAUACAUAAAUUCAUGGUUAUUUGAUGAUUGGGAUGUGGUGCUAAGUGAGUUAAUGCAUGUUGCACGUGUUCAUGGAGGAAGGACUGUCUCCAUGGCAGGGACCGUGGGUUGGGGACCCUGUGGAAGUUAGAUAAGGAUAGUUAUGCGGUUGAGAAUCCCCGGUUUAGUGUAUGGGAGGCUAUGUACGCUCGGGGAAGGUAGAAAUUGAUUUUUGGCAACUAAUUCCGGGCCGUUACGAGUAUGCUUGCUUGAGUUUUGAGCAUUAUAGGAGGGAGUUCUGGAUUGUUGUCAACAUGUUCUGAGUCAUUGUCGAUCCCUCCAUUAAGAGUUGGAAUAUUCUGAAGUUGCACGUUCAGAGAAAGAAGGAUAGUUACGAGAUUCUGAGAGUAUGCAUUGAGGUAUCUGUAUAUGAUGCCAUAAGUAGGAGGUCAGUGGUUGAGACAGGACAUCGUGAUGUUCCGUGAUGGUGUUCCGAGGUAUCCGAGUAUAAUGCCCCGAAUUCAAAAUUAUUUUGGGUCUUGAGUUUGAGACGACAAGUGGAGUAGCAGGUACCUACGGUUCCAGUGGGAGCCCUUUGGGUAUUGACAUCUAGAGGGAUUAUCUAAGAGUGUGGAUUCCAGCAAGGAGGGAUGUUUGGUCUUGGUGGUUGCUGUCAGAAUCUAUGAUGCAUAAAUAGGGACAAGUGUGUGAGUACCUAUCUAUGCUAGUCCGCGGAGCAUGAGUUAGUGGAUGUAGUGUGGUGUUGACGUGAGAAGGAGAUUGUGGAUUAUGAGAGAAAGGGUGUUGUGAUGCUACGAGGAGCCGUAGUACUCACUAGUCAGAGAAAGGGUGUUGUGAUGCUACGGGGAGCCGUAGUACUCACUGGUCAGAGAAAGGGUGUUAUGAUGCUACGGGGAACCGUAGUACUCACUGGUCAGAGAAAGGGUGUUGUGAUGCUACGGGGAGCCGUAGUACUCACUGGUCAGAGAAAGGGUGUUGUGAUGCUACGGGGAGUCGUACUACUCACUAGUCAGAGAAAGGGUAUUGUGAUGCUACGGAGAGCCAUAGUACUCACUAGUCAGAGAGCGGGUGUGGUAAUGCUACACGGAGACGUAGUACUCGCUAGUUAGCAAGAGGUUCUUAUGAUGAAGUACUCUUUGAUCAGAGCAUGACGCAGAAGAGUUUAGGCUUGGGUAGCCCUAACCUAUGAGUUUUGGGAGCCUGGUGGUCGUAUCAGGGGCGAGACAGGGGCCUCCUUAACGAUCAGGAGUCGUUACAUUCUGAGUUAAGGUGUGGUUAUCGUAAUCAGAAGGAAUUUGGGAAGUGAUGUACGCAUGGGUUGCGGGUCAUGAGUCAUGAGUUGAGUGGUUCAUUGGAACGAGUGGUUCCAAUUCUAGGUCGGACAAGACACUCGAGCUGAGUUUGGCUCUAGUGGUGCAUUGAGUAGGCAAGAUGAGAUUCUGGAUUCUGAAGGGGUUCCAGGAUGAGGGGUAUUGUUUGUCAUCUGAUGUCUUAGGCCUAUGUAGGUCAGUACUCGGGUACGGGGGGUACCGCGAGCUUCAUAGAACUAUGAGAAGUAUACGUCAGAAGUUGGGGUUGAGCCGACCAUCAGUUGGGAGUGUAGUAUUCACUCGGGGGUAAGGCGAACUUCGUGACUUGUGUGUCACAAUGAGCCGGUGUAGUUAUUGUGAGAAGGGAAUUAUUAAGACAGUUAGAGUUAAUGCAAUGGAUGACCAUGGGGGUUUGACUGUUGGGCCGAGGUUAGAUCUGGUGCGCAGUGUUAAAGAGGGAUAUGGGAAUUGGAGCUGAGGCUUACGAUUGUGAUGUCUGAGAACACUUCCAAACGAGCUUGGUUAUUCCCUUGUGUCCGAGGGCAGAGUGUUAAGGAUUCUUUGUUCGGAUGGGUUCUGAUAGCGGUUUAGUGGAUAAGCCCUAGCGAGGUGUGGACCCUUCCGCUUCUUGGGGCGUGAUUCAGAUCUUUAGCAUGAUUGGUAUGAGUGAGCGGUACCUGAUUGUUGGGUUCUUGUGAAAAUUAGAGGAUCAGUGGGUUAUCGGGGUUGACAUUCGAGGAGCGAAUACCAUGGUGAUCGCUUGUGUAGGUGAUCUGGCGGCGGGUUAGGCCACUAGAGUUUCCAGAGAUUGGGAAGGAGUAUAUUAGCAGCCGGAGAGUUAGUUUAGUUUUGGACUUGGGAGUUUCUGUUUUGUUUCAGGUGUCCAUUGAGAAAGAUAUCGAUGUAGUAUGAGAUUCUGUCGGUGGUGUCUUUCGUGUUGAUGAUCUUUGUGUGGUUACAGAAUGAUAUCGAGGGUGAAAUCUAAUUCAAGUGGGGGAGAAUUGUAACAUCCGGAUUUUCAGGGUUAUUAUUUAAGUUAAUCUUAUGAUUUAAGGAAAGACUCGACGAGUUAAGGGUCAAACUCGCCGAGUCGAUUCGGGUUUCUCUCACGGGUUAUUGAGUGAACUCGACGUGUCAGAGGAGGGACUCGCCAAGUAGGCGCUAGGCAGAGGAACCCCAAUUUUCGGGGUUUGGGACCUAUUUAAAGGCACUUAUAGCCUCCUUGGCCCCUCCCCAUCAGAGUCUACGUCCCUUGAGAGAAACCCUAGGGUGAUUGGUGAUCUAGAGAAGAAAUUGGCUAAUUGGAGGUCAUUCCUUGGAAAGGAAGAGCAAGGGUCUUGCAAGGAUCUCAGAGGAGAGUUAGAGGAUCAGGUUCAUCUUCAUUGCAAGCUCCAGAUCUGGUACAAACUUUUCCCUUCUUUGUGUUUGUAUAGAUUUCCUUGGUUGAUUAAGUUAGGGCUUGAAUCACCAUUUAGAUAGGGUUGUGGGUGCAUCCAAACCCUUUUUCGAGUCAUGUGUAGAUCUGGACCUUGUGAGGUCCAGGGAACCAGAAAGUUGGCAGCCAUGAAAAAGUUGUUUGGGAGCCUUGAAGCUAUGGAGCUUCAAUGGAGUCCAAAUUGUGUAUUGAGAAAAAUACACCAUGCAUGAGCCUCAAGUUCAGACCUUUACGUGACUUUUGGGUAGUAGGAGGUUAGAUCUAUGAGUUUAGGUUGCAGAUCUGACCUCGGAUGGCUGAAUGAGCAAUCUGUUGGAGCCAACUCGCCGAGUCCAUGAGAUGACUCGACGAGUCGUAGCGGGUUUGACCGAGUAGCCUUAACCCAGUGUUGGAUCACCGAGUUAGGGGUCAACUCGACGAGCUGAGUGAGACCCGUGUAUAGUUCAGAUGAUGCAAGGGGACUCGACGAGUCGCAAGGAUGCAAUCGACGAGUAGGGUCGAGUGUGGACUGUUGACUUGAGUUGACUUUUAUUGACUUUGGAGUUUUGGUCAACAUAAGUAAUAGAGACCAUGGAGGGGUAAAAUGGUCUUUUACCCACUUCCCGAUUAGAGAGGGAAAAAGUAACUGUCGGUUUAAUUAGAGUUGAUAUUUCUAGUGUUAAUUAGAGAUAUUUGCCCUAUGUGUUAGGCGGUGGCGAGUUCGAGAUUCAAGUGUGAAGAUAACUGCUUUUUGCUUGUCAGGUGAGUCUUCUCACUAUACAUUACCUAGAGUGGUAUCUAUGUGUAGACCGGAGGGUCUUGUGUGCUAUGUGUAUGUCUAAGACUAUGUGCAUUAUGAUAUAUGUAUGCUAUGUGAUUGUGUAGACUGGACCGGAGGGUCCAACGAUAUAGACCGGACCGAAGGGUCCAACGAUACAGACUGGGCCGAAGGGUCCAACGAGCUAUGACAGGACCAGAGGGUCCAACGAGCUACGUGACUGGAGGGUCCCGCUAAGACACAUCGAUCGGAGGGUCGUACUAUAGUCUAUAGUGGCGUAUGUGGUAUUUUGGGGAACUCACUAAGCUUCGUGCUUACCGUGUUAUGUGUUAUGUGUUUCAGGUUUUUCUCAGGAUCAUGGGAUGACACCGGCUUGAUUAUACACACCAGAGGAAGAGUAAUGUUUUUGAGGAUCCUGGAUUAUUAUUUAAUUGAAUAUGUAGUUAUGUUUUGUAAUUUAAACAAAAUGAUGUUUUUA
RNAcentral lists this long non-coding RNA (7948 nucleotides) under Lactuca sativa (garden lettuce). RNAcentral's name for it is "long non-coding RNA (LSAT_LNC000490)". The record is from RNAcentral. Lineage: Eukaryota; Viridiplantae; Streptophyta; Magnoliopsida; Asterales; Asteraceae.